GGGGAUGCAGGGCUUCGAUAGUAAGUUUACCUGCUGGCAUUCGGGGCGCGCAUUCAGGUAACGCGUAAAAUUUCCUGAAACCAAUAAGUGCAAAAAAUGUACUAGCUAAGACUCGGCUCGCUUUCAGCAUGCCGGUCUUUGCUCCCGUCGCCGCCUAACGGCCGCGACCAUCGGUCCGGAGACGCCUAAUAACCGUCAACCGGUGUCAUAUCAAUUAGGCUAGCUCCUUAGGUCGUUUUCGCCUUUGAAGUGAAACUCAAGAAAACUAGUCCGCCGCGAUUUUGUCCGGUUUUGACAAGGCGGGCGAAUCCCUAAACCGGACUACCUUCGUAAAAUUGCCGACAGAUGCUUAUUACACGCGGGUUCAACUCCCGCCAUCUCCACUU
This 386-nucleotide transfer-messenger RNA is filed under the name Patescibacteria group. RNAcentral describes it as "XYA2-FULL-47-19 sp001780275 Standard tmRNA". It matches the Rfam family "transfer-messenger RNA". Rfam says of the family: Bacterial tmRNA, also known as 10Sa RNA or SsrA, is named for its dual tRNA and mRNA-like properties. The record is from RNAcentral. RNAcentral also lists the same sequence under 3 other names.